This 468-nucleotide ribosomal RNA is filed under the name uncultured bacterium. RNAcentral describes it as "partial 16S ribosomal RNA". It matches the Rfam family "Bacterial small subunit ribosomal RNA", at positions 28 to 507 of the family's 1533-position model. The record is from RNAcentral.
GAUGAACGCUGGCGGCGUGCUUAACACAUGCAAGUCGAACGGAAAGGCUCUGACUUUCUGGGGUGCUCGAGUGGCGAACGGGUGAGUAACACGUGGGUAACCUGCCCUUCACUUUGGGAUAAGCUUAGGAAACUGGGGCUAAUACCGGAUAGGAGCUCAUGUUGGAUGGUGGGGGGUGGAGAGUUUCGGCGGGGGGGGAUGGACCCGCGGCUUAUCAGCUUGUUGGUGGGGUAGUGGCCUACCAAGGCUUCGGCGGGUCGCCGGCCUGAGAGGGUGGACGGCCACAUUGGGACUGAGAUACGGCCCAGACUCCUACGGGAGGCAGCAGUGGGGAAUAUUGCACAAUGGGCGCAAGCCUGAUGCAGCGACGCCGCGUGGGGGAUGACGGCCUUCGGGUUGUAAACCGCUUUCGCUUGGGACGAAGCGGAAGUGACGGUACCGGGAGAAGAAGCACCGGCUAACUACGUG